RNAcentral lists this ribosomal RNA (237 nucleotides) under uncultured bacterium. Its description in RNAcentral is "partial 16S ribosomal RNA". It matches the Rfam family "Bacterial small subunit ribosomal RNA", at positions 524 to 778 of the family's 1533-position model. The record is from RNAcentral.
UACGGGUGGCGCAAGUGUUGCUUUGUUUGAUUGGGUAUGAAGGGUGCGUAGAUUGCAUAUUAUAAGGAGAUUAACCUAGGGCUUCUGUAAGGAUAUGCUUGGGUAUAUAGGGCGAUUGUGGAAUUUCCUGUAUCAGAGUUGAAAUGCGUAUAAGACAGGAGGAAACACCGGUGGCGAAGGCAGCAAUCGAUUGUAUACUGACGUUGAGGCACGAAAGGCAUGGGUAUCGAAAUGGGG